Molecule: long non-coding RNA, 294 nt
Filed under: Brassica rapa (field mustard)
Lineage: Eukaryota; Viridiplantae; Streptophyta; Magnoliopsida; Brassicales; Brassicaceae
Description: long non-coding RNA (BRAP_LNC001796)
Source: RNAcentral
GCUAACUCACUCAUUGAUAACUUAAGUAAUAACGUGUUCAUGACGAUUUUACCCCAAAAAAAAAAAACGUGUUCAUGACGAAUUAUUGCUGGGCUUAUAAAAAUAAGUUGCAUAGACUUGUAUAGUAACUAAAUCAAGUUAAUUUCAUACACUAAAUAAAAACAUAAUAUACCAUUUUCAUAUUGGACUAGAUCUUAUCUUGGAUAUUCCUCUCAGUUUUUAGAUAUCUCAUGAUUAUUUUUAAUUUUUAAUUCUAAAAGAAAAUUGCCAAAAAUAUCACAUUUAUAAUAUCAC